UUUCCAAUCAAGAAUCCUUGUAGCAAAGCGGCCAUCUCUGCAUGAUUAGCAGUGACAUCUCCAUAAGGGGUAAGAUAGCAAAAGAUCAGAGUACCCUGAUAAUAUCUACAUAUGCUUCCCACACCCCCCGCGAAGUCCAGAAUUACCAAAAAAAAAAAAGAACCAUCAAAAUUAAAUUUAUAGCAACUCAAAAACGGUAGAACCCAUAUACACCGAGAUCUUACCCGAAAAUAAUUCUGAAGAUGCACAUAAGAAGGGAGAGACAAAAGCACAUCUAUUUGUUACAUUGCCCAACACCACAGACGAUAAGGAUAUGGACAGUGCAGCAAAAAGUGGUGAUCAACCGUCUCCGCAUUUUCUUUACAAAAUAAACCCACAUUAACAAUGGUCAUGCCUCUCUUUCUCAACUUAUCGGUCGUUAGAAUUUUAUUUUGUGCGAGAAUCCUAACGAAGAUGAGGAUAAUUGAGAGAAUAAUUGCG
Molecule: long non-coding RNA, 480 nt
Filed under: Amborella trichopoda
Lineage: Eukaryota; Viridiplantae; Streptophyta; Magnoliopsida; Amborellales; Amborellaceae
Description: long non-coding RNA (ATRI_LNC002813)
Source: RNAcentral